RNAcentral lists this non-coding RNA (237 nucleotides) under Parageobacillus caldoxylosilyticus. Its description in RNAcentral is "Geobacillus caldoxylosilyticus T-box sequence". It matches the Rfam family "T-box leader". From Rfam's summary of the family: Uncharged tRNA acts as the effector for transcription antitermination of genes in the T-box leader family. T-boxes are found upstream of many aminoacyl-tRNA synthetase genes and some amino acid biosynthetic genes usually in Gram-positive bacteria. The anticodon of a specific tRNA base pairs to a specifier sequence within the T-box motif, and the NCCA acceptor tail of the tRNA base pairs to a conserved bulge in the T-box antiterminator hairpin. Lineage: Bacteria; Bacillati; Bacillota; Bacilli; Caryophanales; Anoxybacillaceae. The record is from RNAcentral.
GAACAUGCGAUGAGAAAGAAGAGUACAUAUUGCGAUGCCUUCAGAGAGCUUGUGGCUGGUGCGAACAAGCGGCUAGCAAUAUGGAAUGGGCUUUCGAGCAUCCGGCUGAACCGCAAAGUAGUAGGCUUGGACGUUUGCCUUACGUUAUCGAGGCGCCAUGUGCAGGCGCACAUGGGCAAAGUGAUUGCACGCAACGUGCAAUAACUAGGGUGGCAACGCGGUCCUACCGUCCCUAAC